Molecule: long non-coding RNA, 1694 nt
Organism: Triticum aestivum (bread wheat)
Lineage: Eukaryota; Viridiplantae; Streptophyta; Magnoliopsida; Poales; Poaceae
Exons: 4
Source: RefSeq, a predicted model, not a curated record
UCCUUGAAUGCACGGACGUUUGACGCCGGGGACGGAGCGAGGCAGAGCCGUGGCUCGACAUGUUGCCGGCGUCCUGAUCCGUGGAUCAGAUCCGGCGCUCUCCGGUAACGGCGGCACUGCCUGCAGUAAAUGCGGGGGGCCAGGGGCGUUGGGAGCAUCUUCCUCCUACCUUCAGCCCUAGGUUACCCGAUUGUUGAGAGCGGCGACCCGGUGGGGAAAAUCUGCAGCGACUAGGCGACUGCGUGCUUGGGCAAGCAUGUAGUUCUUGAUGCAUCCUAUAAAUAGGCAGCAGGACUCUGCUAGAAGAGGUCAACGAGAACAACAUGAACUUGGAGCCUCUUCAUUACCCUGUGACGACGACGCCGGUGGUGGAGUUGCCGGCCUGCACGGCGUCAAUCGCCAACGACCAGAUUUGCGCUGAGGGCGCUGUUCCAAGGGCAGGCAGUGCAGAUAACCUCAAGCUUCAGAGCACUACAUCGAGCAGGGUCCGGGUUGGGGCCUCUGCGCUAGGCAGAGCCCCAUGUGCUGAUAGGAUUUCAGCGCUGGAGAAAAUUGUUCAAAGGGAAAGGCAUUAGUGGAGAAUACUCGGUCCUGCUGUUGUGAGUGCCCUGCUCUCACAAGGCUGUUGCAUUCAAAGGACACUGGUUGGUACACAGCGGAGCAUCGUGAGGAGCACAACCAUUCGCUCCAACUUAUGGGCAGACUGUACGCUGGCAAUAACACAGGCAUAUUAAUGCGUACAGUCGAAUUUUGUAAAACAAAUAAGGCAGAACAAUGUGAACCUUGUGAAAGUUUACAACAUUAUAGGCAGUUUUUUUGGGUCGAUGGAAAAUGUACCAUUCACAGAAAGAGCUCUAAGGAACUUGUGUGGCAAGAUAAACCAUGAGCAAGCAGAGUAUGACGUUAGGAAAACAAAGGAGGUGUUUCAUGAGCUUGGUUCAAAAGAUCCGCAUUUCACAUAUCGUGUUCAAACUGACAAAAGGGGGAUCAGCAGACUGAUGUGGGCUAAUGGGAAGAACAUAUUACAGUAUACCUUCUUUGCAGAUGUUAUGAACCAGAUUCAACCAGAAUGUGCUAUGGUUGUUGCAGGAGACAGAGUGCAUGGUGCCACAGCUAGCAAUGAUGACAGUUGAGCUAAUGAGUCAGGGAAUAGCCUAGUGGGAUUAUUGCCUCCAACAAAGAGGAAGGAGAUGGGAAGGCCUACAAGCAGAGAGAAGGCGUUGUACGAGGGUUUGAGCAUAAGGACAAGAUUCAGCACCAUUUGUCGGCAUCAGGGGCAUAAGCAGACAACCUGUCCAGAUCGCCGAGAGAUGUCCCAAAGCAAGUUCGGAGACCAGCACGCUGCAAGAAUUGUGGAGUUGAAGGUCACCGUCGCAACAACUGCCACAAAGCAGCGGAACUUAUUAGACUCAAUAAAGCAUGAGCAGACCAAGUAGUCAGUGAAACUGUUUAAGAUAAUUCCAACGCCCUAUGUUUCAACAAUUUUCAGUUGUGCUGUACUAGUAUUUUAAUUAGUUGGUUGGUGUGUAAAGUAUGAGGGACAAAACUUAGUUCAAUUAAGUCAUUUCAUCAUGAGCCUGUACUGAUGGUGUUUUAGGACGGGUGCUUCUGAUCUCAGGCGUUUGAGUCGUUGUAUAGAGAAACACUUACCUAUGUUGCCUGAUCUGGUACUUAAAAGACAGCAUAAAAAUUCA